This 810-nucleotide ribosomal RNA is filed under the name human gut metagenome. RNAcentral describes it as "bacterial SSU rRNA". It matches the Rfam family "Bacterial small subunit ribosomal RNA", at positions 94 to 903 of the family's 1533-position model. The record is from RNAcentral.
AGUGGCGAACGGGUGAGUAAUACAUCGGAACGUGUCCUGUUGUGGGGGAUAACUACUCGAAAGAGUAGCUAAUACCGCAUAAGACCUAAGGGUGAAAGCGGGGGACCUUCGGGCCUCGCGCAGUUGGAGCGGCCGAUGACUGAUUAGCUAGUUGGUGGGGUAAAGGCCUACCAAGGCGACGAUCAGUAGCUGGUCUGAGAGGACGACCAGCCACAUUGGGACUGAGACACGGCCCAAACUCCUACGGGAGGCAGCAGUGGGGAAUUUUGGACAAUGGGGGCAACCCUGAUCCAGCCAUGCCGCGUGCGGGAAGAAGGCCUUCGGGUUGUAAACCGCUUUUGUUAGGAACGAAAAGGUAUCUGUGAACAACAGGUAUUGCUGACGGUACCUAAAGAAUAAGCACCGGCUAACUACGUGCCAGCAGCCGCGGUAAUACGUAGGGUGCGAGCGUUAAUCGGAAUUACUGGGCGUAAAGCGUGCGCAGGCGGUUGGGUAAGACAGGUGUGAAAUCCCCGAGCUUAACUUGGGAACUGCACUUGUGACUGCUCAACUAGAGUAUGUCAGAGGGAGGUGGAAUUCCAAGUGUAGCAGUGAAAUGCGUAGAUAUUUGGAAGAACACCGAUGGCGAAGGCAGCCUCCUGGGAUAAUACUGACGCUCAUGCACGAAAGCGUGGGGAGCAAACAGGAUUAGAUACCCUGGUAGUCCACGCCCUAAACGAUGUCAACUAGUUGUUGGGCCGCAUGGCUUAGUAACACAGCUAACGCGAGAAGUUGACCGCCUGGGGAGUACGGUCGCAAGAUUAAAACUCA